CGGAAAAAAGGUAAGCCUAUAGCCAUUACACUGUCGGCCCAACCAGGUCCAAUUAGUUCCCUGAAAAGCGCUGGUUCCGCGUGUACAGCACUUUCCCUGCUAAUGCCUGAGCAUUAUGCUCAGCCAUAUGCCAAUUUACGCGAUGAAUAAAUGGAUGUGCGCAAAUUGGCUUUUCCGGAAAAAAGGUAAGCCUAUAGCCAUUACACUGUCGGCCCAACCAGGUCCAAUUAGUUCCCUGAAAAGCGCUGGUUCCGCGUGUACAGCAC
Molecule: long non-coding RNA, 266 nt
Filed under: Dermacentor andersoni
Lineage: Eukaryota; Metazoa; Arthropoda; Arachnida; Ixodida; Ixodidae
Description: uncharacterized LOC126533599
Source: RNAcentral